UAUUAUUCCGUCCAUAACUAAAACUGCACCCGUUUAAAUCGAUAGCUUGUGUGGUAUUCAAAUGGACUACAUAAAACUUAUGGUUAACUAUUCCUCUUAAGGAUAUCGUCUAAAAGAUAAGCUCCUUAAUAAAGUUCUAUACCAACAUUAUUCAACA
This is a small nucleolar RNA of Anastrepha obliqua, 157 nucleotides long. The record is from RefSeq and is a predicted model, not a curated record. NCBI's taxonomy places the organism in Eukaryota, Metazoa, Arthropoda, Insecta, Diptera, Tephritidae.